Molecule: non-coding RNA, 207 nt
Organism: Pelobates cultripes (western spadefoot toad)
Lineage: Eukaryota; Metazoa; Chordata; Amphibia; Anura; Pelobatidae
Source: the annotation of a GenBank genome assembly
GUGAGCUUACAAUCUAAAGGAGCAAGUAAUGAUGGGCGAGUAAACAGUAGCAGGGACUUUUUUCAAUGUACAGUCAGAUUUUUUUAUAAAGGGGCCUCUCCGAGGCGGAGACGACUUUUGCAGGUUUGUAAUUUGGACACAGAGGGGGCAAGGUCAAUGGAAAGGAGUUGCCAAAUUAAAAUUAGUGUCAUCAGAUUCAAGUUCUUG